Molecule: long non-coding RNA, 498 nt
Filed under: Salmo salar (Atlantic salmon)
Lineage: Eukaryota; Metazoa; Chordata; Actinopteri; Salmoniformes; Salmonidae
Description: lncRNA (ENSSSAG00000106132.1)
Source: RNAcentral
CAAACAGCCAACUGUUCAUCAUGCUGUCAUCACAGCGUUUCCAUGCUGAAAGCGCAACAUAAUUACAGCCAUUUAGUUUUCCUACUUGUUUCUCUGAAUGAAAAGUUCCGUAACCAAAAUCACUCACCGAAAUCGCAUCGAAUAAAAUUGGUUUCAACUCCAAACACCGUAACACAUGUGACAGCAAAAUGGCUGUGAAGGACGUGAAGAAGAAACUCGAAAAGAGCGAAUGUUGGCUGGUUGUUCAGGCGGGAAAGGGGAAGUCAGAUCUGUGGAAAGUAUUUGACUGUGGAAACUACUGGAAGGAAGGUAUAGUGUUGCAUCUUGUGCAGGAUAUGGCCAUUCAUUUGUGCUACCCACAAUCCCUCAGGAUUGUAGAGAGACUCCCAAAGGAAGAGAAUGACAGAGUCCAUCCAAAUCAUCUUGGCUCCUGGACUCAUUUCAAGGCUGCGUUUGAAACAAUGACAUAUCAAUGAUCCAAGACCAGCUCAGUUAAUC